CUGGGGCGUGUCAGGGAAGGGUGAUUGGCAGGCGAGGAGGGGGAGCAAAGGAGAGCUCAUAGGAUCUGAUAUGUCCGCCAUCUUGAAGUGUCGGUGAUGGUGGCGAGCGCCCGUUUUCCCGUCUGAGCCGAGGCAGACCGGGACCCGUGACGGGGAGACGCGCUCGCCGAGUGCCUCAGAGUGCUUUCUAAGUAGAAAAGUGAAUUGAAGCUCUAAGACUGUCCCAUGAUGUGCCUGGAGAUCAGUAUAGAUGGGUAUAAAAUAAAAAUGAGUCACAUUGCUCCCUAUGACUCUACAUAAGGGGGGGGAGGAAAUACAGCACCUUCCAAUCCCAAGUCUCUCACUGCUGUACUUCUUUAAAAUUUAAUUGUCCAGUUAACUUGGAAUCUUUAAUGUCUUGUAUUAAUGGCUUGACAAACUUAUUGGAUAUCUACACACAUUCAGAAGCAAAUGCCUCAGGAAAAUGGUAAGUAUUUAAUGGAAAGAGUAUAUAACAAAUGCCAAGAUUCGUCAAUGUUCAACUCCUUAUCUCCAAGGUUAUCAGGAAACAUGGACAUAUCUGGGACAUGUUAAAAUAGAGCCAGACCAACUUCUAUGACAGGCAUCCCAUUGGGUAGCUGUAAAAAUAUGUCAAAGAAGCUGACCAAAAGAAUCCCUUCAUUGACCAAAACUUAAAGGGAAAACUCUUGGGGCUUAACAUUGAGGAUGUGCAAAGAGCAGCCUAGGAUAGAUAGGCAUGGCACAGACUUGUUUGUGCCCUAAGAAACACUAGAUAGCUUGGGAAGGAUUCAGAUUAGAUUACAUUUCUAACCCAAGAGCAGAGACUAGAUGCCUGCUGAAUUCUGGGACGUCCAUCUAGGUGAGAAGACCGCAUGCCGCCUCCAGCUGCUAGAAGUGUCUGCAGGCAUGCAUGCACGUGUGCUGGGCUUUUCACUGUGGUGCUAUGCCUGUACUCUACAGAGGAGCGCCUGUCUUUCAGGUUACUUUAGUUAGUGCAUGUCUGAAAUUGGAGUCCUGUCACUUUUUGCAAAGUGACAAAUCUAUUCUUUCCUUCUGCAGCUGCUUUUUUGUACCAUCCUCUCUUGAAGUUCCUUCCUGGCUGCUGGGAGCAGAGCUCCCUUUACUUCCUGUAAUCUUUCUCCAACAAAUGACUUAAUUAUCAGUGUCUAUCCCUGCUUCCUGUGGGCAGCAGAAAUCCUACUAACUGAUUCUAGAUAGUCUCACUCUACAGUCAGCUUCAUUCCUGCUGUCAGCCAUAGCAAGAAGUAGCAUUACCGUCCUUCACCAUAUGUAGAGUGUGGAGUGUUAUGGGGACCUGGUUUUGGUUGGUGCCUUGGGGAGCUGCUGCAUUAAAUAAGAACUGUCUAGUAAGCUAACUACUGGUGGUCAAGAUUUUCUGCUUCUGAGUAAAAGAAGGUGGUCAAGAAACUUGGCAUGAGAACAGAUGCAAAUGCAUAUAUUUCCUGAACCAUGGUAUAAAACUACUCUUUAAGCUGUACUUUUGCUUGGCUCAGCCUAUACCAUUUACUUAAUUGUUUCCUUUGUAACUAUUGUAUUUCAAGGUGGGAAACAGAGGAACGGAAGAAGCAAAACCAAAAUGUAGCUGAAGAUUGAGGAGUACUAUAAAGCUACUGCCUUUCUGGGAGAGCUGCAUUAACUGGUUUGGCUCUACCAUUUUAGUAGGAUCAUGGCAAUAAUAGUAAUAUUUAGCACUUAGGUUUUGUUCAGGGUCUCUCAAAUGUCAACUAAUUAAAACUUUACAGCUUCCCCUGCCAUCUGGAGCCCUUCCUGUCUCCUUACAUAUGCUAUUCUGAGAAUCCUUUAAGUGAGGAAGGCAGUUUAUCCCACACUGUAAAAGCUAUAUUGUUGCAAGUAUAGUGCUCUGAUUGUCCUUGCAGGAACAGGACACAAUUCUAGAGUCUUUAUUUAUAUACCUACAUCUUCUUGUCUUGUAACAUCAGUGCCAUACAAUCAGGGAUAGAAUUUGCAGUUUUACUCUGUCCAUAUAAACAUUUGAUAACUUUUAUUUCUCAAAGGCUGUGGCAGGUGCAGUUGUGCUGCCACUUCAGACAGCUUGGUUCUGAGCUGCCUAAUACUCUCUUAGAGAGCAUAAAUGCUUUUUUUUUUUCUUCUCCAUUAUACUCCAGACUGUAAUAAUCUCCUUUUGUAGUGACAAGUUUCAGUUCCUUGUUUUGAAGAGAAGGUGAUUCCCCUCACUUCCUAUUAUUGGCUGGGAGAGAGUUAACAUUUUACUAAUCUACAAAGCAAAUUGUAGUCUUCCCCAUCUAAAGUUUUUCUUUAUAUUGUCUGCUGUAGAUUAUGCCAAUGAUUAGUGAAAUGCAGUCAUGCUUUAGGAUAGAAAAUGCCUUUGUUUACCACUACCAGGAAUACUCAGAGGUAAAAAUACUUCCUUCUCUUCCCUGCCCCACAGUUUGGGGGGUCAUGAUAGAUAAUCAACUGAACAUGAGCUCCCAGUACUACACUGUGACCAGAAAGACUAAUGUGAUCCAAAUCCGUAAAUGGGGAUCUCAAGUAGGAGUAGAGGUUAUUUUACCUUUGUAUUUGGCACUGGGCGACUGCUGCUGGAAUACUUCAUCCAGUUCUAAUGUUCACAGUUCCAGAAGGAUGUUGAUUAAUUGUAGGGGUUUAGAGAAGAGUCAUGAAAAUGAUUAAAGGAUUAGAGAACUUGUCUAUAGUGAUAGAUGGAAGGAACUCAAUUUACUUAGCUUAACAGAGACAAAGUUUAGGGGUGACUAAAUCACAGUCUGUAAGUACUCACAUGGGGAACAAUCAGAGGAACUCGAGAGGUCAUCUAGUCCGGUCCUCCGCACUCAUGGCGGGCCUAUUAUCUAGACCAUCCCUGAGAGGUAUUUGUCUAACCUGCUCUUAAAGAUCUCCAAUGAUGGAGAUUCCACAACCUCCCUAGGCAAUUUAUUUCAGGGAGAUUGUGGAAUGUCCCCUCUUGGUCUUUUCUUCUCCAGACUAAACAAACCCAAUUUUUUCAGUCUUCCCUCAUAGGUCAUGUUUUCUAGACCUUUAAUCAUUUUUGUUGCACUGCUCUGGACUUUCUCCAGUUUGUCCACAUCUUUCCUGAAAUGUGACCAGAACUGGACACCAUAGUCUAGCUGAGGCUGUAUCAGCAUGGACUAGAACAGAAGAAUUGCUGCUUGUGUCUUGUGAACCACUGAUAACUCGUCUCUGGGAACAGUUUUCCAACCAGUUAGGCACCCGCCUUAUAGGAGCUCCAUCUAGGUUGUAUUUCCCUAGUUUUGUUUAUGAAGUUGAGACAGUAUCAAAAGCCUUACUAAAGUCAAGAUAUACCACAUCUACCACUUCCUCCCUAUCCACAAAGCUUGUUAUCCUGUCAAAGAAAGCUUUUAGAUUGGUUUGACACAUCCAUGCUGACUCUUACUUAUCACCUUGUUAUAUUCUAGGUGUUUUCGAAUUGAUUGCUUAAUUAUUUACUCCAUUAUUUUUCCAGAUACUGAAGUUAAGCUGACUCAUCUGUAAUUCCCCAGGUUGUCCUUAUUUCCCUUUUUAUAGAUUGGCACUAUAUUUUUUCCCUGUUCCUGUCCUUUGGAAUGUCUCUGGUCUUCCAUGACUUUUCAAAGAUAAUUGCUAAUGGCUCAGAUAUCUUCUCAGUUGACUCCUUGAAUAUUCUAGAAUGCAUUUAAUCAGGCCCUGGUGACUUGAAGCCAUCUAACUUGUCUAAGUAAUUUUUAACUCAUUCUUUCCCUAUUUUAGCCUCUGAUCCUAAUUCAUUUUCACUGGCGUUCGCUGUGUUAGACGUUCAGUUGGCUACUAACCUUUCUGGUGAAAACUGAAACAAAGUCAUUUAGCACUUCUACCAUUUUUCACAUUUUCUGUUCUCUCUUCACACCCCCCACCCCUCCCCCCCCCAUUGAGUAAGAGGAUCACCCUGGCCUUGGUCUUCCUCUUGCUCCUAAUGUGUCUAUGGAAUGUUUUUUUUGUUACCCUUUCUCUGUAGCUAGUUUUGUAUUGUUUUGUGCCUUGGCCUUUCUCAUUUUGACUAGUUUGUUUAUAUUCAUCCUUUGUAAUUUGACCUAGUUUCUGCUUUUUGUAGGACUUUUUUUUGAGUUUCAAAUCAUUUAAGAUCUUCUGGUUAAGUCAGGAUGGCCUCUUGCCAUACUUCUUAUCUUUCCUAUGAAGUGGGAUAGUUUUCUCUUGUGCCCUUAAUACUGUCUCUCUGAAAAACUGCCAACUCUUGAACUGUUUUUCCCCUUACAUUGGCUUCCCAUGGGAUCUUACCUACAAACUUAUAUAUGAUGAUUGGCUCUUCAGUCUAGCAGAGAAGAGUAUAACACAGUGCAGUGGCUGGAAGUUGAAGUUAGACAAAUUCACACUGGAAAUAGGGUGUAAACUUUUAACAGUGAGAGUAAUUAACCACUGGAGCAAUUUACCAAGAGCUGAAGUGGAUUCUCAAUGACUGGCCUUUUUUUUUUUAAAUGUCCUCUAAUUCCAACAGGAAAUUAUUCCAGGGAAGUUCUGCAUCCUGCUUUGUUCAGGAAGUCACACUAGAUGAUCACAACAGUCCCUUCUGGCCUUGGAGUCUAUGAAGUCUUUUCAGGGAGAAAUUUGCCACAGCUAGUUAUGGGAUCUGUACUAUCAAUGUCUGCAUAACUUGAGCUUAAAAGCAAACAACUCCAUAGUUUUCAGGGUUAUAAAGAUAAUGUUCAAAUAUAAGCAAUGUGGUCUUAGACUUGGGUCGCUUCAGACAGCUCCUGUGUUUUUGACAGCUCACGGUUUCACACCACUGCUUUAAAAAAAGCUAACAAGACUGAUCAAUUUUAUUGCUGCUAUUUAGAGCAGUUGACAAAAAGCAAAAAUCAAGACUAUGAUCACUUUUGUGCUGCUGGUCUGGGAAAACUGAACAGCAGCAAAAGUGAGCAUUUUACGGAGGCAAGUUGAACUCUAUAGAGAUUUGCCAGCAUAGCUAUCUUGGUCAGGAUUGUGGAAGAUCACACCACUAACUGAUAUAACAAUGCCAAUGAAAUCCCCUGUGUAGACGCAGCUUAGACUGGCAAGAAUCCUUUUGAGAGUAGAGCUUAUAAGGUUUGUGGAGGUGGCUAACUAUGCCAGCAAAAAUUUCUUUCGCUGCAGCUGCAUUAGGGGGCUUUGCUGGCAUAGCUAUACUGGCAAAGACUUGAGUAUAUGCUAGCCCUUGUUGAUAAAAGAGCAAAAGUGCUGGGGGAAUAGUAGAAGAGAGAAGAAAAGAGAUACAAAGUUUCCUCUUCCUGCAGCUGUAGGAAGAGUUUCAAACCUUUAAGCCUAAGUCUGAUACAAAAGAGUGAACUCCUGAACAAAUUCUAAGAACAAACUUUUGGUAGAAAUCCUAGUAACCUGCCCCAUUGUUGGCAGCUUGUGACAGUGGAGCUCUGGGCCCAUUCAGUAGACUCUGGCUAUUGGCUCUUGCUGGGGCCAAUCUCUGUUCUAUUUAUGGGUUUCUAGAUGUCUGGUAAAUUUCGUAAAUAGGGCUUGUCUAAGCUACCAUUUAAAUCAAUGUAACUUACGUCACUCAAGGGUGUGAAAAUCCACUCCUCUGAGCAACGUGACUUAAAGCAGUGUCCAUAUGGCACUAUUUCGGCGUGAGACACUCUCCCUCCAACAUAGCUUCUGCCUCUCGUUUAAGUGUAGUAAUUAUGCCGAUGGGAGAGUGCUGUCCUGUUAGCAUAGUGCGUCUUCACCAGAUGCACUACAGCGGUGCAGCUGUGCUGAAGUGGCAUGAUAGUGUAGACUUGCCCAUAGUAUAUGGUUAACCCAGUCUCUAAUGGCUCUAACUACAGUUAGUGGUUUGGCAACCUUACUAGAUACCUAUGAGCCAUACAUUUUUUAAAAGGAAUGUAAAUGGUGUGGUGGAAGAAUACUUACUAUUUCUCUAAACUUCUCAGGGGAAUCAAUUCUGUGAAGGCUACCAGUUUUGACUUCUGCUACUAUCUGCCUAGAAAGCAUUUGCUUUUUAAGACAGUUGACUCACAAGGCCCAUCACUUGAAAUUGAUAAAACAAAUCAGAGUUCUAAACAGGCUUCUCAAGAUACAGCACAGGUUUUCCUUUAAAGCUGCAACCCUCUUCCAAAUCCUGGACUAGUCAGAUGGCUUGGUAUCACACUUGUACUUCCAAGUGACUAUUCCUCUGGCUUUUGGGAUGGUAGUAAUCUCAUGUUGCUUCAGUAAUGAACACGUGACCUAGGAGUAACACCUCCUGUUUCUGCAGGCCGUUCAGUCCUGUUUCCAAUGACUGGAGAAAGCUGGCAACAAAUAAGGUGGAAACAGGAGGAAAGACUGUAGAAGGGAAAACUUAGUGGGGAGGGGUAUAAGAUAGGGCUUUCUAACCCUUUCUUGAUGAGGCCUGUGAGGAGGAGUAGGUCACUGGGACUAGUCAAGGUGAAUCUUCCUGAGGCUUUUUGGAGGACAUGAUGGCCCUAAUUUAAGAAGAGAAACUCCUAGGUUCUGUCUCGUGAAUGGCUUAUAUUCACCUAGCCUAUAUGAAAAUUGUUGCCCCAAUGAUUCCUUCAGAAUGGUUUUCCUCUGGAAACUGUUUUUGUGUACAUAGGGAUGUAAGUGCAUACUGUUUAUAAGCAAGUGGAAUUUUUUGUGAACCAAGGUGUAACUUCAGUAUAAAGAUAUAGAAUGUUUAAGCAAUGACAGAUCCAUUUUACUGUAACAUCCAAACUAAAAUACUUCAGGAUUUGUGAGCAAAAUUCGCCAUCUGUAGCAGGAUGUUCAGCACAUCUUACCAUCUGUCGUGCUAUAAUCUUAAACUGUAGCACACAAACACUAUUUGAUAGAGGAACAGAAGAGAAUGAGGAUCCUUUUUAAAUGAAACUACAAACAGGCCUUUUCAGGAGACCACUAAUUUCACUUGUGGAAUAAUACUUUAGACUCUAUUUUUUUGUAUAUUCAUGGAACCUGUUUUCUCUUCUGGAGAUGGUAGGCGUUAUUUAAUAACAUGCUUAUUUUGGAUUGGGUCUCAAGUAUAGCUUUGUGUGGGUUGUAAUGUUCAUAUUGAUUCAGACUGCUGUAAGAAGUCUCUUUAUAUCAGGUAGUCAGCAGAUUAUCAGACCUCCUGGGGGAUGCUGUGCUGUCUUAAAUAUCCGUUAAUUGCAUAUAUAGAUUUGUAUCCCAAAAAGGGGUGUGUGCUUGACCUCAGAGAUGUGAUCAGACUGUUUCCACCUAGGGAAAUGCUUUCUAAUACCCUAACAGUACUGUCCCCCAUCAUUGUUCUGGAUACCCCACGUACAGGCUUGUGAAACUGUACCUCUGAUAUUACAGAACUUUGGUAAAAGGUUUAAUUACCCUCUCAGCAGGUAUAAAAUGGUGGUAGAAAUCCUACUGGAGAAGUCUACAGACUUGUUUAGAUUCCAGUGUUGUCAGUGCUGUACGCAUUACUGUGGCUUCCCGCGCUCUUCACAAUCUUUGUGAAGCCAAAGAUGUGCCAUUUCCCUCUGAAUGGACCUGUGACAGUGAUAGACUGUUGAACCAGUACACUAAGCUGGAAGGUGCACCUACCACAGCUAGAGCUGGAUGUACCUGGGCAACAAAAGUCAGGGAUGCUUUGUGCUCCCACAGUAUGGACUUGCAUAGGCCAAUAGAAGAACAGUACCUUUAUGAAUGUGCUUGUGGUAGGAAGGGGUUGACUGCCGUAUAAUGUACUUAUGGAUGACCUGACUUAUCAAAUGGGGGAGGGAGUUGAAUCACAGUAUAGAUUGCUUUAAGGAAUGUAUGGAUUGAUGCAGCUAACUGUAUUGAGAAAGUGUUUGCAUACAAGUUUCCACUUGUCCCUGAUCGUGUGUUUACCUUCAUUUGAAAUACACUUUGUAUGAUGUGAUGUAGUGGUAAAGCUUUUUAUUUUAAAAAGGUUUUAUAACCAACAAACACUUUAACCGGUUGCCAGGCAGGCCAGCUGCCAUUACCACACCAAAACAUCAGUAACAAACAACUUUUUUUUUUAAAAAAAGAACAAAGUGCACGAAUAAACACAUGGUUUCACUGUUUGAACAAGACAGAAGCCACCUACUGUUGCAUGUCCCUGGCCAUUCUCCCUUUCUUCUUUUCCUUUGCUGUGCACUUGGCACCAGGGGUUGGGGGGUAGAGAUGCCCACAGGGGAGGGGGGUCGGUAUGGAGGACUGCAAGGGGCACAAUUGCCUUGCCCAGCUGCUGAUGGGGCCUGAUUGCAGGGGUCAUUCAUCUAUGGAGUUGUCCAAGCUGUUCCUGGGCUGCAGCAGAGGGUACUGCGGUAGGGACUUAGGCCAUGGUGCAAGUACAGCAGGAACCAGUACUCUUGCAGCCAUUAAUGAUAGCAGCCGCUCAGACAGCUUUCUUCUGAGAUUUGUCAUCCUCCUGUAAUUGCUGUAACUGUUCUAGGAACUGUGAAGCAAAGGUCUGCUCUCAUGCUGAAAUCCUAUCCUCAAGCUGUGCAGCCUUUCUGCUUGCCUUUCGCCAUGCCUGUCCUCUAGCCAUAAGUCCCUCUGUCUUUGGUAUUGGAGCUGCUUGUUAGCCCUUUCCAGUACUUCAACCGUAAGUUCAUCACAAAUGCUCCUCUAGGAAUGGUCUGUGAAGGUAUGUUGACCCAGGCUUCUGCCACACUGCGGGCAUGCUGUGGAGUUACUUGUGGCACCUUAGAGACUAACCAAUUUAUUUGAGCAUGAGCUUUCGUGAGCUACAGCUCACUUCAUCGGAUGCAUACUGUGGAAACUGCAGAAGACAUUAUAUACACAGGGACCAUGAAACAAUACCUCCUCCCAUCCCACUCUCCUGCUGGUAAUAGCUUGUCUAAAGUGAUCAUCAAGUUGGGCCAUUUCCAGCACAAAUCCAGGUUUUCUCACCCCCCCCCCCCCCCCCCAAACUCACUCUCCUGCUGGUAAUAGCUUAUCCAAAGUGACCACUCUCCUUACAAUGUGUAUGAAAAUCAAGGUGGGCCAUUCCAUGCUCAAAUAAAUUGGUUAGUCUCUAAGGUGCCACAAGUACUCCUUUUGUUUUUGCGAAUACAGACUAACACGGCUGUUACUCUGAAACCUGUGGAGUUACUGUAACUUGUAGAGGUCAAGGGGCUGGAAUAGGACAAGACAGAAGGUCAUUGUCUCAAAUAGCUCAGUGCAGGAGCACAGAAAAAAUACUUGUGGAAUUUCAAGAGCACUAAAUGUUACUUUCUAAAACCGGAUUUCAGAAUAUUGUGAGAGGGAUGUUUCAGACCACAGACGCUCCCUGAACACAGUCAGGUUAGUUGCAGCAAAAAAUGGCAAGUUAAAAAUCACAGCUGCUUUUUUUCCCUACAUGCUACAAAAGGCUUCUCUAGCAUUUCAGGCAUUCCUCAUUUUGGAGGACGUAAGUUCUUGUGGUUGGCAAAGAAGUUAUUCCAAGCUGCUGGUGGGAAAACAGCAGUGCAUGCCACAAAGUAUUCAAAUGUAUAGAGAGUGAACCGCACAUCUGUGUGUGGAGUAGGGUGGCUAGUUACUGAGGUGGCCCUGGAAAAUAUGCUUUUUCCCAGAAUUGUGGCUACCUCUCUGGAGUUCCUGUUACAGGAAAAGCUUGAAGCUAUUAGCCUACAGGACUGGGUUAGAAUUUGAGGCAAUCAACUGGAUGCUGUGUGAGUCCAUAUGGCUUAGCCUGUUGCGUGCAAACACUGUCUGCUGUGCUGUCAUCCUGCUUAGCCCCCCUCCUCAGCAUGUAGCUGGACAAAAUUCAAACCUCCAGUUGUAUUUGGGAGAAAUUUAAUGACCUAUGGACUAGAUUUGUAAAGAGAACCCAUUUCUACACCUCCACCCAGAGUUCACUGUUUUCAGAUGGCUCAUUGCACAGUUGAGUGAUUACAAUGUAAGGUUGCUGUUAAAAUGUCCUAGUAAAAAUGUGCCUUCCUUGUGAAAAUUCACUUUUUGAGGAGUGUGGUUUUUUUGUUUACAUUUCCCAGUUGCCAUUUUGAAUUCCGCAGGGCGAGAAGGGACAGUGGCGGAGGGAUGCCACAGUGCUGGCAUGUAAUCCACCAUUAGUGGAGAAACACUGCUAUCUGGGGCUUGUAAUAUCUUUUGCAAUGGUUCAUAGAAAGGAGAUCCCUCACAUUCCUGUAUUAAUAAACAUUAAAAUGGAGCCAAAAACUUACCAGGCUCCAGGCAGCUGCUGCCUGUUUCAUUUUUGCUGCCAGUUCCACAGCCGUUCUUUCCUCAGGGUGUGGGGGGGAGGGGGGAUCAAAAAGCUCUUCCAAGUACAGCUCCAGAAUGUACUGCAGCUCCUACCACAAAAUCUCCUUUGGGACCAGUGUCACAGAAGAGUCGCUUCACUAGUCUCAGCUGGUGACUGCUGCUGGUUCCCCACAGUUCCAAUGCUAGAUUCCAGGGGCACGAGGUCGCCAUCCCGCCUGAUUAGGUCAUCGUGCACUGCUGUUGAUGCUGUACUCAGUGCAGUGCCCAGCACUUGGUCAAACACAUCAUAAAACGGGUAUAAUGUCAGCAGGUUGUCCAAGGUGUGCUUCUGGUUCCUGGUUUUCCAGUAUUCUGUCUUGAGCUGUUUAAUCUGCGCUCUGCACUGGUCACUGAUAUGGUAAAUUUCCAGUGUUGCUGGCUUCUUCGUUGCUUGCUGGUAUGUGUGGUCAUUAGUGGUACUCUCGCUAAAAUCUAUUAUUUUUGCUUGCCUCGCAUCCGAGAUUAAUCAAUAUCGGGCUGUGUUCCCAUGACCACGAAGCAGCGUGCUUUGCAAAGGACUUUUCUGGUCAGUGUCCAUUGCCGAUUUAGAAGAUUCUCCCAAAAUGUGUUAGCAACUCGCUGGGCAGAAUAAAUGGAAGGGUUAAAUACUGACUUGCUAAGCUGCUGUACUACAAAAAGGGGAUUGCUUCUGUUUCCCGGGAGGGGAGAAGAGGACCAAGGAAGAGGGCCCAUGCGAUUAUAGCAUACUUCUGGUGGACUCCCAGGACCCAAGUUUGGGGAGGUCUGCAUCUACCCUGCAGAGUGAUAGGGCUUGAACCCUGGGUCUCUGCUUGACUCAGGCUUGAACCCUCUAACCUUGUGGAGUCCUAGGACCCUGGGUCUGAGUCAGAGAUUUGUGUGUGGUUGGAAGGGGCAUUUGUGCUCAAGCCUGAGCCUUAUCCCGAGCCCAGGCUUACAUUGCAACAUAGAUAUACUCCUAUAGGCUGCAACUCCAGCUGCUAACCUGAAUUAAAAGCAGAUUUGCUGUCUCUUCACUGUUUUAACUCAUUAGCUAACCUGAAUUAAGAACACACUUCCCCUCCAUGUAGCCAUACUCUGAUAAGAACCACAAGAUGACACAUUUACCCAUUUUGGGUAAGAGCACUACCAUCUGAGAGGGUAAACUCAGAUCAGAAAAGGGACAGGUAUCUUCUCACAAACAUGACAGCACCCUAUAUUUAAAACUUGUUUUCAAGGUGAUAUGCAAAGAAUUUUUUUAAAAUAGGCUUAUCUGUUUAGUCUAAAGGUGACUUGUUAAAGUAAUUUUUUGUUGUGUUACCUGGAUCAGUCAUUGAAGUUUAGGUGUUAAUAUCCCUCCCUUCUCCCCCGCUAAAUCCUCUCAUCUCUCCAUUGCUUAGUUUUCACUCAGGUUUUACGGUGGUAGCAUUUCACUGGCUCUCCGUCAUAGUCUUUUGGGCCAGACAAGAUCUGCAUCUUUAAUGUAAAAUAAGUAGUUAGGUUUUCACAAAAAAAAAAAAAUCCUUUCAGGCCACCUUCAUACAAAAGGACAUAGGCUAACUCCUUUUUCCUUUAAGGGCUAUUCCUGAAUAAUGCCAUGUGUAGACAAGCCUUAAUAGACCUCAGUGUUUACUGAGUGUAAGUAAAGAAAAACUUGUAUGAAUUCAGGAAGACAAGCUCAUUUUCUUCCCCUGCCCUCCCCUCCGAACCUUUGUGCACCCACAGCUCCCAUGAACUGCAAUUGCAUUUGUGUUCAAGGGUAGGAAAGAUGGUUCAGUGGAUAGAGCACUGACCUGAGACUCAGAUCUAGGUUUAAUUCCUAGCUCAGCCACAGACCUGUUACAUGAGUUCAAUAGAUUUGCUUAAUGUACCCGGUCCCUCAGUGUUCCAUUUCACAAAUGGGGAUAAUUGAGCAAUUUAUGUAGCUAAAUGCUUUUUACUUUCUUUGCUUUGAGCAUGCAUCUUUAGUGUAGCUCAGCAUCAUUGGAAUGAUGUUAUAAUCCAGUUUCACUAGCUUGUUACCAUUGUGGAGUAAGUUAAAGAUUAAAAAAACCUAGGAAAUUAGUGCACAACUCUGUGGAAACAGGCAAGAUUGCUACACAUAAUGUGACAUACAACCACAAAAACUAGGGUAUGAAAAAUUAAACCACCUAAUGGUACAUGCCCUCCACAGGUAUGUGCCAUGCCGCUACUGCAGUCAAGACACUAAUUGUCACUAUAGGGAUACCAGUCUUGCAUAUCUUUUAUCAUGCUACCCACUCCCCUCAUAACAAAUUACUGCACAAAACAGUAACACUUAAUAGUGUUGGGAAGGAGUAGUUUGGUUAAGGUGUAUGCAAGAAGGUGGGUUGAGAGGGCAGAGAAAGGUGGUGGCUUAUGGUACGAUGGGUGGGGUAGUAGGGUGUGUUCUGUUAAGUGUCUGCUUUUUUGGUUUUUGUCAUACUGGGUAUGUGUUUCUGUCUUACCCCUUUCACAACAGCUUAUUGGGUAUUAGUUAAAACAGGACUAAGAACUUGUCUGCAGGGGGGAAUAGCUAUUCUGUGCUAGCUCCCUAUGCAGACACUCUUAUCCUGCACUAAAGCCAAUGCACUCCUGUAAUGUAGACACGGACUAUGCCAACAGAACAGGUUUUUUCCAUCUGUGGGAGUAGUGGCUCCUUGGACAAAGUUAGCUAUGUCAAUGGAAGCAUUCCUUUGUCAACAUAGCUAAAUCUGUGCUGGGGGUUAUGUUGUCAUAACUGUUAAUCGCAUGUAGUUUUUUUUUGCAUCCCUCACUGAUGUCACUGCGUUAACGUAAUUUAAGCAUAGACCUAACCUAAGGGUCUUCUGUGCGGUUUAGCUUAAUCAAGGAGGACUGGUUAAAUAACAUUUAAUUGCUUUAGGUAGGGAAGUGCUAAACAGGUUAAAAUUUCAAUAAUGAAUCCGAUGUAGAACAGAUGUGAUGAUGCUCAAUAAGAUGAAAAUGACUGAACUAAAUAAUGGCCACCCUUGCUGGAUUCAGAACUAAAUAAAAACCCAUCCGACGUAGCUGUCCAGUUAUAACUCUUUCAGAUGUAUGUGUACAUGGAUAUUUGUGUCCAUAUAAAAAUCCCCACAGUAGAACAAUACCACGCCGAUGGCUCUGCCCAUGGUUUCAGUAAGGUAAUGUUGACAUUUUAAAUUUAUAUCUCUAAUGGAAAGAAAAGAGAUGACGGGGGAAGUAGAAAUAGAGGUGUGCACAGAGCCCCUGUCAGGGUCAGGGAGGAUGGGGGACCCUGUUUUGCGGGGAAAGGAACAAGAGGGACAAUAGAGCCCCUGGUCUGUGGUGGAGGAAUUGUGAGGAGUGCAUAGUGCCCCUUGCAUGGAGAGGAUUGGGGGGGGGGUGUCUCUAAAAUAAAGGGGGAUGGGAGGGUGGCGCAAAGGACAUUUGUGGGAAGGGUAAUGGAUAGGGCCCUACCAAAUUCACAGCUGUGAAAAAUGCACCAUGAAAUCUGGUCUUGUGUACUUUUAUCCUAUAAUAUGCAGAUUUCACGGGAGACCAGCGUUUCUCAAACUGGGGGGACCCAAAAAAGGAUUUUUUUUGGUGGGGGGGAGGGUCGCACAGUUAUGGUAGGAGGUUGUGGUAUUGCCACCCUUACUUCUGCGCUGCCUUCAGAGCUGGGUGGCCGGAGAGCGGUGGCAGCUGGCUUCCAGCUCUAAAGGCGGUGCCCCACCAGUAGCAGUGCAGCAAUACCAUGCCAUGCCACCCUGACUUCUGCCCUGCUGCCUUCCCUUGGGUCAGGACCCCUACAGUUACAACACCCUGAAAUUUCAUUUUAAAUAUCUGAAAUAAUGAAAUUUUCUAUUUUUAAAAUUCUAUGACCCUGAAAUUCACCAAAAUGGACCAUGAAUUUGAUAGGGCCCUAUGAAUAAAGCUUGCUGCUAGGUAAGUGGCAAGGAGAUGCUGGAUCUCCUUUUUGAGAGGCACUUCAGCAUUGACUCAUGUAUUUCCAGCAAUAUAGAGUUGUGUAUUUUAGCUUAGAUAUUAGACAAUUCUUAGGGCUUAUCUACACAUGAAAGUUAACUCUGAUUAGGGUAGGGUGUGCAUUUAAAGUGAAGUAGCUGUUUCUGGUCGUCUCCAUGCCUAGAGGCAUUUAGUGUUCCCACAGAGGGCUUGUCUAAGCUUACGGUGGUGCAGCUGCAGUGCUUAGUGAAGAUGCUACCUAUGCCGAUGGGAGAGCUUCUCCCAUUGGCAUAGGUACUCCACUUUCCUGUGAGGCAGUAGCUAUGUCAACAGGAGAAGCCCUUCCCUCGACAUAGCACUGUCUACAUGAGGAGUUGGGUUGGUAAUACUGCAUUUCUGAAGGGUGUGAAUUUUUCACACCCCAUGAGCAUCAUAAUUAUACCAUCAUAAGUUGGUAGCAUAGACCAAGCCUCACUUUUUUAAACUCUUGUUGGUUCCUUUAAAGUGACCUGAAAAGGAAAAGAACAUUUAGCUUGUGCUGCCUUUGCUGCUUCAUGGGGUAUAAAAACCUGAAUGGUGUUUGGAUCCCUGUUUCUUUCUUAUCUCUUGGAUUUCUUGGAUGAAUCAUUGACUGACCGGAAGCUCUCUCAGCUUUUAGGUGAAUGGGCAGGGGUGUUUGAACCUUUUACAAAGAACUUUUCUCCCAACAAGUUGUCUAUAACAAUUUUGUUCAAGGCUGUCUGUCGGAAUAAAAAUCGCUUCUCUCAAUCCUUGGUGCAUUAAAUAUAACCAAACUCAAACGACUAGUUCUCUAAUCACCUAUAGUCUUCUAGGAUAAAGAAGACUUGAAUUUCUGAUGUGAAAUAAAGUAGAAAAACUUAUUUUGGGGCUUUGUAAAACUUAAUUUUUAAGCAAUAAAGAGUACAACUCCAGUUCCUUUUUCGUUAUCUUCAAAAUAAGCUUUUUAGGUUUUCCACUUUCUCACUGCAUUAGUUGGACCACUAUCCAUUUUGGAUGAAAUUUUUUUUUUGAUAAAAGGGUAUUUGUAAAAGUACCUAGUCUGAUUUGAAGACAUCUGAAUUAAUACACAACAAUAUGCACACUGCAGCUGUGCCUCCCUACCAGAUUUCUGGCAAGGAGUGUGUGUUUUCAAAAGGGGGACACUUGGGUCAGAUGGCACCUUAUUAUAAAUCCUGUUUUAGAGAAAGUUUUUAGACUUAGCCAUUAAGACUGUCUUUAAAAAACAAAACAAAACCCAAAAACC
Chelonia mydas (Green sea turtle) is the source of this 15337-nucleotide long non-coding RNA. RefSeq lists it as uncharacterized. The transcript has 4 exons. The record is from RefSeq and is a predicted model, not a curated record. NCBI's taxonomy places the organism in Eukaryota, Metazoa, Chordata, Testudines, Cheloniidae.